UAUUUUAAUAGCUUAUUUUAUAGAGCAUGAUAUUGAAGAUAUCAAGGAGGUGAUAACUUUAAAAUAC
RNAcentral lists this transfer RNA (67 nucleotides) under Dilophotes sp. AL LB-2014. RNAcentral describes it as "tRNA-Phe". The record is from RNAcentral. Lineage: Eukaryota; Metazoa; Arthropoda; Insecta; Coleoptera; Lycidae.